GGGCGGUUAGUUCAUCGGUGGAACGCUUCACUGAUAAUGAAGAGGUGAAUGGUUCGAUUCCAUUACCGCCCA
This 72-nucleotide transfer RNA is filed under the name Candidatus Daviesbacteria bacterium. RNAcentral describes it as "tRNA-Ile". It matches the Rfam family "tRNA". From Rfam's summary of the family: Transfer RNA (tRNA) molecules are approximately 80 nucleotides in length. Their secondary structure includes four short double-helical elements and three loops (D, anti-codon, and T loops). The record is from RNAcentral. Lineage: Bacteria; Candidatus Daviesiibacteriota.